UAAGGAAUAUUGCUCAAUGGGAGAAAUCCUGAAGCAGCAACGCCGCGUGGAGGAUGAAGGGUCUAUGACUUGUAAACUCCUGUAAAGAAGGAAAAAAUUCCCAUUUGAUGGGAGAUGAUGGUACUUCUGGAGUAAGCCCCGGCUAACUACGUGCCAGCAGCCGCGGUAAUACGUAGGGGGCAAGCGUUGUCCAGAUUUACUGGGUGUAAAGGGUGCUCAGGCGGAUUUGUAAGUCAGAGGUGAAAUCUUACAGCUUAACUGUGAAACUGCCUCUGAUACUGCAAGCCUAGAGUAUGGAAGAGAGUGAUGGAAUAUCUGGUGUAGCAGUGAAAUGCGUAGAUAUCAGAUACAACACCAAUGGCGAAGGCAGUCACUUGGUCCAUUACUGACGCUAAAGCACGAAAGCGUGGGUAGCAAACA
RNAcentral lists this ribosomal RNA (420 nucleotides) under uncultured bacterium. RNAcentral describes it as "bacterial SSU rRNA". It matches the Rfam family "Bacterial small subunit ribosomal RNA", at positions 355 to 774 of the family's 1533-position model. The record is from RNAcentral.